AAUAAACGCUGGCGGCGUGCCUAACACAUGCAAGUCGAGCGAGAAAGUUCCUUCGGGAGCAAGUAAAGCGGCGGACGGGUGAGUAACGCGUGAGAAUUUACCCUUUAGUGAGGAAUACCUCUGAGAAAUCAGGGCUAAUACUGCAUAAGUCCCUACGGGGAGAAAGGUGGCCUAUUUGCUGCCGCUAAAGGAUAAGCUUGCGGGCUAUUAGCUAGUUGGUGAGGUAAAGGCUCACCAAGGCGAUGAUGGCUAGCCGGCCUGAGAGGGUGUACGGCCACACUGGAACUUAGACACGGUCCAGACUCCUACGGGAGGCAGCAGUGAGGAAUAUUGCGCAAUGGGCGAAAGCCUGACGCAGCGACGCCGCGUGGAGGAUGAAGGUCUUCGGAUUGUAAACUUCUGUUAAGUGGGAAGGAAGAUUUAUCCCUAAUAUGGAUAAAGGAUGACGGUACCAUUAGAGAAAGCACCGGCUAACUUCGUGCCAGCAGCCGCGGUAA
RNAcentral lists this ribosomal RNA (497 nucleotides) under uncultured bacterium. RNAcentral's name for it is "bacterial SSU rRNA". It matches the Rfam family "Bacterial small subunit ribosomal RNA", at positions 29 to 523 of the family's 1533-position model. The record is from RNAcentral.